This 257-nucleotide ribosomal RNA is filed under the name Salmonella enterica subsp. enterica. RNAcentral describes it as "partial 23S ribosomal RNA". It matches the Rfam family "Bacterial large subunit ribosomal RNA", at positions 1243 to 1504 of the family's 2925-position model. Lineage: Bacteria; Pseudomonadati; Pseudomonadota; Gammaproteobacteria; Enterobacterales; Enterobacteriaceae. The record is from RNAcentral.
UAAGCCUGUGAAGGUGGCCUGUGAGGGUUGCUGGAGGUAUCAGAAGUGCGAAUGCUGACAUAAGUAACGAUAAAGCGGGUGAAAAGCCCGCUCGCCGGAAGACCAAGGGUUCCUGUCCAACGUUAAUCGGGGCAGGGUGAGUCGACCCCUAAGGCGAGGCCGAAAGGCGUAGUCGAUGGGAAACGGGUUAAUAUUCCCGUACUUGGUGUUACUGCGAAGGGGGGACGGAGAAGGCUAUGUUGGCCGGGCGACGGUUG